Molecule: long non-coding RNA, 612 nt
Filed under: Equus caballus (horse)
Lineage: Eukaryota; Metazoa; Chordata; Mammalia; Perissodactyla; Equidae
Description: lncRNA (ENSECAG00000056969.1)
Source: RNAcentral
CAAGAUAAAAGAAGUACAGUUUGGGAUUCUAUACAUUAAAAUGUUUGUUUUGGCUUCCAGAAAGAGAAAUCUCAAGUAAAUAUUGCUGAAAAACCAAGGCUAUUCAUGGGCUAACAGACUGAUAAGGUCUAGGGAGGGCAUAGGUGGGGCGUGCUUCAGUCAGGGCUCCAGCUCUGUCCUAUGCAGUGUUCUUUGACCUGAUCUCUUUUCAAGCUUCAUCCUCAGGCUUCCAGGAAACUGGCUGCCCCAACUCCAGGCCUCGUAUACACGGACAACAAUGCCAAGAAGAAGAGGCCCAGGACUUCUGGAGAUUACAAUGGUACCAAUACAGCAUUUGACAAAGGAAUGACUUGUGGAUGCAUAAUGCAAUUGGAAGUCUAACUGCAAAGCUCUUAGAAGGAUCUUGAUCAGAAGUUCUCCAGUGGCCAAAGGAAUAUAAGCUGAAUUGUUGUACACGACUUCCAGGAAGUGGCCCUUAAAGAAAGAGGCAGGAUCUUCCCUUCUUUCUGAUGGCUAGAGGGCAGACAUGAUGGCUGGAGCUGCAGCAACUAUCUUGGGCUACAAAAUAGACUUUACAUGAUACAGGUACCAGAGCAACAGAGUAGGAGUCUG